Venturia canescens is the source of this 348-nucleotide long non-coding RNA. RefSeq lists it as uncharacterized. NCBI's taxonomy places the organism in Eukaryota, Metazoa, Arthropoda, Insecta, Hymenoptera, Ichneumonidae. The transcript is spliced from 3 exons. The record is from RefSeq and is a predicted model, not a curated record.
UUGUACUCUUCUACAAAAACAGUUUCACAUUGCGUCAUUUGAUGAGACUCUGUGUCAACGCUUCGAGAACGAGAGUUAUCGAAAGAGUUUUAUCCCCUUAAUAAAGCAAAAUGCACAGGUAACCGGAUCUAUUGUUUUACACACGCGGAGGUAGAGACCGAAUUUACUGAUGAGGUCGAACAAUUCGGCUUCCAACUGCAAAACGUUCCCGUUCGAUUUUCUCCACUUGGCUUUUUCACGCUUGGUUAUAAAUUCAUAAUAAAGUUUUUUGGAACCAUUCUGGCCUAUCUGAUAAUCGUGAUACAAAUGGAUGAACACAAGAGACUGUUGUAACCAUGCUGAGAUUUU